This 147-nucleotide ribosomal RNA is filed under the name uncultured Bacillota bacterium. RNAcentral's name for it is "uncultured Firmicutes bacterium partial 16S ribosomal RNA". It matches the Rfam family "Bacterial small subunit ribosomal RNA", at positions 382 to 525 of the family's 1533-position model. The record is from RNAcentral. Lineage: Bacteria; Bacillati; Bacillota.
CUUGAAGGAGCACGCCGCGUGAGUGUGAGGUUUUCGGAUCUUAAAACUCUGUUGUCAGAGAAAACAAGUUGGAGAGUAACUGCUCCAGCCUUGACGGUAUCUGACCAGAAAGCCACGGCUAAAUACAUGCCAGCAGCCGCGGUAAUA